CCUGUCAUGCGCAUUGAGAGUCCUCGAGACAGGCGCUCCUCGCAGCACCGUCGUGCGCUUGCGCUGAGCAGCCCGCGAGGGCGGAAGUGGGAGCUGCGACCGGGAGGAGGGGGCGCCGCGCUCGCUGUGAGGUGGGCAAGCGGCGGAAAUGGCGCCCUCCGGGAGUCUUGCAGUUCCCCUGGCAGUCCUGGUGUUGUUGCUUUGGGGUGCUCCCUGGACGCACGGGCGGCGGAGCAACGUUCGCGUCAUCACGGACGAGAACUGGAGAGAACUGCUGGAAGGAGACUGGAUGAUAGAAUUUUAUGCCCCGUGGUGCCCUGCUUGUCAAAAUCUUCAACCGGAAUGGGAAAGUUUUGCUGAAUGGGGAGAAGAUCUUGAGGUUAAUGUUGCGAAAGUAGAUGUCACAGAGCAGCCAGGUACUGACUGAGUGGACGGUUUAUCAUAACUGCUCUUCCUACUAUUUAUCAGUAAGUAUUUGAAGAUUCUAAAUUAUGGAGAAGGAUGCAUUAUAGUGUAAUCAGAAGUAGUAGGCCUCUGGCUUGGAUCAUGUUGGAAGAGCUGAGAUAAUCUCAUUAUAUUCAGCAGGUAUUUUAGAGGGCUUGUUUUGCUUAGUAAUAUCUUAGGUGCCUUUAGGUAGUUGCGUGAUGUGUGAAACAGUCUCUGUUCUCAGAUUUACAGUUGUUUUGGAAAGUGAUGUUCUUGUGAAAUGGUGUGAUCCUGUUCAGCGUGUUAAGUCAUUAUGAGUCCAAAGUAGUGAUGAGUCCUGUAGGAAAUUGGAUAAAGGAGAAAUCACAGUUACCUGGGUUGGUUCCCAGAGAAUAUGGGGUUUAAAUGAAACCUUGGAAGUAGAAUUUUAAGAGUGGAGCGUAAGCAUUUUAUUCUGAGGACAAUCUCAUAAACAGUCAUUAACAAGACCAUGUUAUGUCCAAAAAGUAGCUAAGAAAGUGCUGUUGUACAG
This 958-nucleotide small RNA is filed under the name Pongo abelii (Sumatran orangutan). RNAcentral's name for it is "retained intron". Lineage: Eukaryota; Metazoa; Chordata; Mammalia; Primates; Hominidae. The record is from RNAcentral.